Molecule: ribosomal RNA, 253 nt
Filed under: uncultured bacterium
Lineage: Bacteria
Description: partial 16S ribosomal RNA
Rfam family: Bacterial small subunit ribosomal RNA
Source: RNAcentral
UACGUAGGGCGCAAGCGUUGUCCGGAAUUAUUGGGCGUAAAGAGCUCGUAGGUGGUUUGUUACGUCUGCUGUGAAAACCUAGGGCUUAACCCUGGGCCUGCAGCGGAUACGGGCAGACUAGAGGUAGGUAGGGGAGAAUGGAAUUCCCGGUGUAGCGGUGAAAUGCGCAGAUAUCGGGAGGAACACCGGUGGCGAAGGCGGUUCUCUGGGCCUUACCUGACACUGAGGAGCGAAAGCGUGGGGAGCGAACAGG